AUAUACAGUUAAAAACCAAUCAAAUAAUCUCGUCUGAUCGCGGAAGCUAAGCAGGAUCCGGCCUGGUUAGUACUUAGAUGGGAGACUGCCUGGGAAUACCAGGUGCUGUAGGCU
Molecule: ribosomal RNA, 114 nt
Organism: Mesocricetus auratus (golden hamster)
Lineage: Eukaryota; Metazoa; Chordata; Mammalia; Rodentia; Cricetidae
Source: Ensembl